Molecule: long non-coding RNA, 493 nt
Filed under: Gallus gallus (chicken)
Lineage: Eukaryota; Metazoa; Chordata; Aves; Galliformes; Phasianidae
Source: RNAcentral
GCAUGUUCCAUAACAGCCAUCAGCUGAAUACAGUUAUAGCCAAGAUCCCUUAUUCUGGGUAGUACAUUAUAUGUGAAGUUUUUAUAAGAAGCUAUUUUCCCUUCUGGAGAAGCAAUUCCCACAUGAGAUUCAUAGAUUCUCAGACUUUUUAAUUUCUUGGGGGAACGAUGCUUACGUAUAUAUGACUGUGGUGGAUCCCAGUGUACCCAAUCGUAAUUCACUUUGCCUUCAUAACGGACUACAUAUCUUGCCCAUGGUGAAAUACGAUAGAGGAGUUCGCCAUUUUGAGCACGAAUCACCACCUUUAGCUUUGAUCCAUGAGGCACAGGAGAAAAACCAUCUUGUCCAGGUGGAAUGAACAACUCCCAUUUCCCAUACUCCAUUUUCUUAUAUGGAUGAGAAAAUGGAUUCCAGCCAUUGAAAUCACCUGUGAGAAACACCGCUUCUGCACCUGGUGCCCACUCUUUGCAAUAUACUCCACCAUCCACAAAUU